Molecule: non-coding RNA, 72 nt
Organism: Vicugna pacos (alpaca)
Lineage: Eukaryota; Metazoa; Chordata; Mammalia; Artiodactyla; Camelidae
Source: the annotation of a RefSeq genome assembly
GGGGAUAUGGCUCAGUGGUAGAGUGUGUGCUUGGCAUGCAAGAGGUCCUGGGUUCAAUCCCCAGUACCUCCA